UACGUAGGGGGCAAGCGUUGUCCGGAUUUAUUGGGCGUAAAGAGCUCGUAGGCGGCUUGGCAAGUCGGGUGUGAAAACUUCAGGCUCAACCUGGAGCGGCCACUCGAUACUGCCAUGGCUUGAGUCCGGUAGGGGACCACGGAAUUCCUGGUGUAGCGGUGAAAUGCGCAGAUAUCAGGAGGAACACCAGUGGCGAAGGCGGUGGUCUGGGCCGGAACUGACGCUGAGGAGCGAAAGCGUGGGGAGCGAACAGG
Molecule: ribosomal RNA, 254 nt
Filed under: uncultured bacterium
Lineage: Bacteria
Description: partial 16S ribosomal RNA
Rfam family: Bacterial small subunit ribosomal RNA
Source: RNAcentral